UACGUAGGGUGCAAGCGUUGUCCGGAAUCAUUGGGCGUAAAGCGCGCGUAGGUGGCUUCGUAAGUCCGUUGUGAAAGUCAAAGGCUCAACCUUUGAAUGCCGAUGGAUACUGCGGAGCUAGAGUACGGAAGAGGCGAGUGGAAUUCCUGGUGUAGCGGUGGAAUGCGCAGAUAUCAGGAGGAACACCAAUAGCGAAGGCAGCUCGCUGGGACGUUAGCUGACGCUGAGACGCGAAAGCGUGGGGAGCAAACAGG
Molecule: ribosomal RNA, 254 nt
Filed under: uncultured bacterium
Lineage: Bacteria
Description: partial 16S ribosomal RNA
Rfam family: Bacterial small subunit ribosomal RNA
Source: RNAcentral